Molecule: ribosomal RNA, 223 nt
Filed under: uncultured bacterium
Lineage: Bacteria
Description: partial 16S ribosomal RNA
Rfam family: Bacterial small subunit ribosomal RNA
Source: RNAcentral
CAACGCGUGGGUAACCUGCCUUAUACUGGGGGAUAACAGCCAGAAAUGACUGCUAAUACCGCAUAAGCGCACAGAACCGCAUGGUUCCGUGUGAAAAACUCCGGUGGUAUAAGAUGGACCCGCGUUGGAUUAGCUAGUUGGCAGGGCAGCGGCCUACCAAGGCGACGAUCCAUAGCCGGCCUGAGAGGGUGAACGGCCACAUUGGGACUGAGACACGGCCCAG